UGCGGGGUAGGGCAGUUCGGUAGCCCGGAAGUUUCAUAUGCUUUAGGUCGUGGGUUCAAAUCCCACCCCCGCAAC
Molecule: transfer RNA, 75 nt
Filed under: Microbacterium phage PauloDiaboli
Lineage: Duplodnaviria; Heunggongvirae; Uroviricota; Caudoviricetes
Also listed under: 2 other names
Description: tRNA-Met
Rfam family: tRNA
About the family: Transfer RNA (tRNA) molecules are approximately 80 nucleotides in length. Their secondary structure includes four short double-helical elements and three loops (D, anti-codon, and T loops). Further hydrogen bonds mediate the characteristic L-shaped molecular structure. tRNAs have two regions of fundamental functional importance: the anti-codon, which is responsible for specific mRNA codon recognition, and the 3' end, to which the tRNAs corresponding amino acid is attached (by aminoacyl-tRNA synthetases). tRNAs cope with the degeneracy of the genetic code in two manners: having more than one tRNA (with a specific anti-codon) for a particular amino acid; and 'wobble' base-pairing, i.e. permitting non-standard base-pairing at the 3rd anti-codon position.
Source: RNAcentral